UACGAAGGGGGCUAGCGUUGUUCGGAAUUACUGGGCGUAAAGCGCGUGUAGGCGGGUCUUUAAGUCAGGGGUGAAAUCCUGGAGCUCAACUCCAGAACUGCCUUUGAUACUGGCGAUCUCGAGUCCGGGAGAGGUGAGUGGAACUGCGAGUGUAGAGGUGAAAUUCGUAGAUAUUCGCAAGAACACCAGUGGCGAAGGCGGCUCACUGGCCCGGUACUGACGCUAAGGUGCGAAAGCGUGGGGAGCAAACAGG
RNAcentral lists this ribosomal RNA (253 nucleotides) under uncultured bacterium. RNAcentral describes it as "partial 16S ribosomal RNA". It matches the Rfam family "Bacterial small subunit ribosomal RNA", at positions 524 to 776 of the family's 1533-position model. The record is from RNAcentral.